UUGAAAGCACAUAUAUUAGUAUAUAGUUAGUCUCGAAGCAAAAACCAUGAAGUCAACAGUUUUGCCAAUUAUUUUAUGCAUUCUUCUUAGUAGCUUUUUGUUAACCCCCAUUGAAGGUAUUUUAUAUUCAUAUCAGAUUAAUAUAAAUCUAGUUAAAUUAUGUUUGUGCAAAUGUGAUGUCCAGACACUUGACUCACAAAAACCAUCAAAUCCCUAUAUUUUUUUUAAUUGGGGUUUCACGAUUUUUUUUAAAAAUAGUUUUUACCAAAUAAAUAUAAAUUUUCGUGAUUUUUCAAUUUAGGUUUAUGGACUAUUGCUUAGAUAAGCAUAGAGUUGGGUGAAUGCUAUAUUCAUUUUCAAAUUUAUCUAUUUAUUUUUUUAAUUUUUCAUGGUUGUACAAAUUAUUUUAUAAAAAUUAUUAUUACACAUAUAAUAUUAUUGGUUGAAUGAAAAUAUUAUAUAGUCUACGCAUUUUUUCAAUAAAAACAAUUGUGCUAUUUCAUUUCAAUUUCAAUAAUGACAAAAUCGUUACAUAAAAACACAUAAUCUUAAAAAAGAGAUUCGUCAGAAUUUAUAUAGAAAAUUUGUAGCUCUCUCGUGAUUCUUUCGGAUAACUCUUCAUCACUGCACUUAAUUAUAUUUUGAUGUAUUUACAGGGUCACGCUGCCGACUAAACCUAGGGCAACAACCAGGAUCAUGCGACAGGCCUAAGGAUUCAGUGAACUGUGCUCUUGGGGUUAGUCCAUCAUUGAUGCCUACGCAUUGCGAUUGUGUUCAUGUUGGUGCUAAUCAGCGAAACUGCACAUGUGAAGUUGAGUCACCUCAGUGCCCAUCUGAGGCUGCAGCUGCUACAAAACCAAAAGAUAAUUAAUUACUGUUAUGUAUUUUGUUUUUAAAUUGGCGAAGUAUUCUGCCUAUCGGCAUAUGUUUAGUUGUUAUGUUCAAAGCUAUCGUUUGAUCACAAUAAUAAAAUAAAGUGAUUUUUUAGUUUUUUC
This 995-nucleotide long non-coding RNA is filed under the name Citrus sinensis (sweet orange). RNAcentral's name for it is "long non-coding RNA (CSIN_LNC002144)". Lineage: Eukaryota; Viridiplantae; Streptophyta; Magnoliopsida; Sapindales; Rutaceae. The record is from RNAcentral.